Long non-coding RNA from Rhipicephalus microplus (southern cattle tick), 775 nucleotides. NCBI's taxonomy places the organism in Eukaryota, Metazoa, Arthropoda, Arachnida, Ixodida, Ixodidae. The record is from RefSeq and is a predicted model, not a curated record.
UGAGCGACUAAAACACGGUAUAGAUGCUGGUUUCAGCUCUUUCGAAUCAACGUAUUCCUUCAGUCGCUGUGCAUCGUCCUUCCAGUGCAACUGGCCGGUGUCUUGAAUGACGCUUCUUCAAGCCGUAAUUUUUUACGUAUUCACAGGCCUGAAUUAUUGAAACGUUGCUUUCAAGGCUGCGUAAGCGAGCUGUUCUUCAAAGCAGCUCCAUUACAGAAUGGCUACUUUCUCAGUUUCUUCGUCCAAAUCACACGUUCAACUUAUGGUUCAGAAAUUCGAGAUGCAAGGCGGUAGCUCACCUAACGGUGAUCGUCAAACACAACAUGGAAAGCAAAAACCCAAGUUCAAAGUGGACUUGGUGUUUUGGAGACCUCCACCCAGAAGGAAAUGGAAGCUUCGCUCCUCAGCCGGAAAGGGAGAAAGCUCCGAUGCGUUGUCGCGUGCGUUCAAGCACUGGGCCGUGCUGUGUUGCCUUGACAAUGGGGCUUCGUAUGUGGUAGAUGCUGUGCAGGAAAAUGGCGUUCUCAAUGGACGUCUUAAAACCAACGACGCGAAAUGCAAACCACUUGAAAAGCUAUCACUCGGCGUUUAUCCGCUAGACUAUGGCGAUAUAACGAAAGCUUUCGGAGAGAUUGCAAAACCAGGAAAGUACAGCGUGAUGAAAAACAACUGUCAAGAAUGGGUCAUCGACUUGUUAAGAACAAUGAAGAUCAGUGUACCACCGGAAGUAAGAACAAUUGCCGACCUCAUAUCAAGACUUCGUCUUCUUUCCGGC